This 372-nucleotide long non-coding RNA is filed under the name Gossypium raimondii (Peruvian cotton). RNAcentral describes it as "long non-coding RNA (GRAI_LNC001365)". Lineage: Eukaryota; Viridiplantae; Streptophyta; Magnoliopsida; Malvales; Malvaceae. The record is from RNAcentral.
GUUUAAGGAUUAUGGUUUAAGGGUUGGGGUUUAAGGUUUAGGUGUUGAAGGUUAAGGGUUAGGGGUUUAGGGUUUAUAGUUUAUAGUUUAUGUUUUAUGAUUCAAGGUUUAGGGGAGGGAUUAUGGUUUGUGGUUUACGGUUUAAGGGUUGGGGUUUAAGGUUUAGGUGUUAGGGGUUAAAGGUUUAUAGUUUAGGGUUUAGGGGUUAGGGUUUAAGGUUUAGGUGGUAGGGGUUAAGGGAUGGGGUUUAGGGGUUAUUGUUUAGGGUUUAAGGGUUGGUGUUUAAGGUUUAGGGUCUUGGGUUUUUAAGAUAGGGGUUAUGGUUUAGGAUUUAGAUUAAUUAGUAUUUUUUAUUUUUAUAUUAAAUAAUUU